RNAcentral lists this long non-coding RNA (278 nucleotides) under Phascolarctos cinereus (koala). RNAcentral's name for it is "lncRNA (ENSPCIG00000000168.2)". The record is from RNAcentral. Lineage: Eukaryota; Metazoa; Chordata; Mammalia; Diprotodontia; Phascolarctidae.
AGCUUUCAAGGUACCCUCAGAAGGAGUACACAGGAGCAACGUUUGGACAAAGAAAGGAAUCCUCCAUCUGCACCCUGGCCUUGCUCCCCCCACCCAAUGAUCAAGCAGUGGAAACCAGUCAGGAGCUUUCUGUAAAGAAAAAGGCCUCAGUGCUUCUUCAAGUAUAAUGUAAAGGACAGUUUGCCUGUGCCUGAUCAUCUCCAGCAGAGUGAAUGAAGUUGAUUGGACGGUUCUAUGUAACAUCUUCCACCCUGAAUAAACAUGUGGCUAGUUCUGUG